GAAGAAGAAACUUUUAGUGACACGAAUAUCGUCCACGACUUCGUAUUAAUGAAACUUAAUAAACAAAGCUAACAAGAACACGCAGAAUUUCUGGGCAUUUCCUCUUUGUUUUUCGUAGGAUUCUGUUUCACUCGCAAAGGGCGCGGUCGGACAAGUCGAUUUUAAUUACAAAUAUGCGAUAAUCGCUGACGAUUUACAAAGCGUUUCAUUGCACAGAGACGCUGGAAGGUCGCGUAAGCUUAUAUACGAAGAGAUGCGUAUUAAAAUAUUUAUGACCAAGUAAAAGCCGCUAUAAUCGCUUUGGUUUUGCUGUCAAGCGUUUUCUCCAUUUUCACGGUAUUUUAUCACCGAUCGUUUAGCGGUACCGUGUUAUCACACACACGUGACAACAGCUGUUGGUAACGAACAUUUUAUGAAACUUCGCUGUUUAAACAGUUACGUACUCCGAUGAUUUUUAAUAGUGCCUGUUUAUCCAUUACCUCGCAUGUCUUUUAUUACUUUCCAGUGUUUCUUUUAUUUUUAUGGAACAGGAUAGCGGUUUGGUUUCCAGUGAAAGGAAUUGGCAAAUAAAGUAUAGGUGAUCUGUAAAAACGUGUCUCAAUUUUUAACUCGGUCCGUGGAAAUGUUUCGACAUUAAAACGUGAGACACAAACCGGUAUUAAAUGGAAACUACUGUUGAAGCUUUUCACUACGACUCGCUAUUGAUAACAGUUUUGCUCAAAUUUGGAAUUGUAAAGUGACUAGUCAUUUUAGCAAUUCAAAUUCCAUAUAUUCGUGUAAAUAUUCGUAAAUAUUCGUAUUGUCAUCUCACGCUAAUAGAUAAAACCGCGUCUCUUACCAUUACCAAAUCUCCUCAACCGAACAAUGAAUCAAUUUCCAUCAAUAAUACAUACAAUUAAUUCAUUCGUUCAAAUCCUAAACCCAACCCACUCCUUUUUCAAAUCCCAAACCUGGAACGUGCUUCAAGGGAACAUCCAACGAUAUUAUUCUACUUUCGAUAUCCACGCACGUCUGUCGUAACCUAUUACGAAAAAACGAACGAUCGAUGCCUUUCACCAAUUCCAAUUCGUCACCCAUGUUGCGACAAGGCGAAUUCACAAAAACAGUCUCAAACGAAGAAUCAUGCAAACGAUACGAAUGCCAUAUUGGCCAUCUAUUUCGUAGAUUUUUCGAAGCUAGUAGUGGAUCCGUACACUAUCACGUGGCGCGGUCGAUGAGGAAUGCGGUUGGAACGCGGUGUGUUUCGUUUACACACGCUCGCCAGAGACCACAGGGGACCGCGGUGCCUUAUACACAAUCCACUUCACCUUUCGUUCUCUCUUUCGCGUUUUUUCUCUGUUCUUCUCUCUUUCUCUCUCGAUAGACCUUGGAUCGAGCGGUUUGACAUUUCGCGUUUAUCCGCUCGACGAUUAUCGCGAGUGACCAAAGCGACGAUGCAACCGCGCUUCAAUCGACAAGAUCUCUGAUAUCCAGCGCCGCGACGCGACUAGACACUCGGUGAAAUUGGGCAAUUGCGAUGGCGUUGAUGGGAGAUACGCUCCCUCGAUACGUGUUCAGAAAACCAAAUGAUAUUAUAUAUUCGCUGUUUGUUCCGAAGAGCUGGAAUUGAUUGCGAACGCGACAGAAUUCGGCUGAAAUUGUGAAAUCGAAGCUUUCGUGUUUUGUGUGUUGAUGUCUUGUGAUUGAUAGAUUCUUGGUGGAGAAAUAUAUUGUUUGGUGUGUUCGAGAAGAAUAGUUGCUUAGUGAUUUUUUACGUAUAUAAUAUUCCUUUGACAUAUUUCCAAUCACGUAACAGCAGAAAACGGAAAAGGAUCACAAGAAUAAGAAAUAUAGGAAUUAAAUUUGAAAGUUGAUAAAAGAGUGCGAGAAAGCGAAGGGAAAACAUUAAGAAUUGUUUCUAAGGAAAGCUAUUCGCAUUAAUGGAAAGCCUUAACGAUGAUUACGUUUAAUAACUUCUUUCUAUUUCUAACUAUAGCACGGUGAAAUGAUACAAAAUGUGAAAUAAGUAGCAAAAUGUCACAGUGUUGAAAAGGUGAGGGUCAACUUAGCUGUUAUUAAACCCGAAGUAAUUUCGUUUUAUGAUUCCUAAACUGCAUUCCAUUUUCGCUUUCACUUUCUUCGCUUUCUUAAGAAAUAACUGAAAAAAUGCUACUUAUGUGGAUAUUGUAAAUAGAUGAGCAGAAGAGCAUUUAUAAUAUAUGAGUUAUUAAUAACAUAUAAACUAGAAAUCUUAAUAUGUAUUUACAUCCAAAAAAUUAUUUAUAACUUCAUGUUACCCUACACUGUAUACAUAUAUUUAUAUUACGCACAUAUUAAAAUUAAUUUAGAAUAUGGGAAAAACCACAUGAUUCUCAGCGGUGAUGGCAAACAAUAAUGAGAAGAGACUCGUGAGAAGGUGUCCUUAAAUCUUUAUUAAAACGAGCAGUCUUAUAAACAAAAAGAUAUUUCGUAAUAUAUUUAUAUGCACUUCCCUAUCAGAAAAAUCUUUCACAUUAAUAAAACUGUUAACUUCCGGAAACA
Long non-coding RNA from Bombus pyrosoma, 2520 nucleotides. RefSeq lists it as uncharacterized. Lineage: Eukaryota; Metazoa; Arthropoda; Insecta; Hymenoptera; Apidae. The transcript is spliced from 2 exons. The record is from RefSeq and is a predicted model, not a curated record.